GGGUUCCCAUGCUGCUCUGCCCGUUCCUGCCCAGCAGCUCCUCCAGAACACUCCUCACAGGAUUGCUGCAGCCUGGGAGGGCAGAGCUGCUCCUCUGGGCGCUCUGCUCUGUGGAGGCCGUGUCCUCUCAGACCUGCUGCACUCUGAAUAUAAACCCCCCUUUGUUGGGCACGGGGUGACUUGGCUGAGCCACAUGAUCAGUCAGGUGACAAAAUUGGGCACCAAAGCGGAGCAGAAUGAGCAGCUGGGUGAGGGCAGGAGCUGCUGAUCUCGCCUCUUGACAGGCUGUGUUACUCCUCAGGGAAAAAUGAGUGCCUGGCUCUGUCCUCUGCUGUGCAGCUUAACCAUGGUGUGCUUAACAGGUAUUGCUUUAGGCCAGACAACCAGCACUGGGGUUCCCAUUGGAUCCACCCCAGCACCUCCCAGUACAACCAGCACUGGGGUUCCCAAUACAACCAGCACUGGGGUUCCCAUUGGAUCCACCCCAGCACCUCCCAGUACAACCAGCACUGGGGUUCCCAAUACAACCAGCACUGGGGUUCCCAUUGGAUCCACCCCAGCACCUCCCAGUACAGCCCCUGCUCCAGCCUCUGCUCCCCCAGCUGCUGCUGCAACACUCUCAGCUGGGCUGACAGCAACCACUGCAGGCCCUGCUGCAUCCACAGCAGCUCCAUCUGCUGAUCCAAGCACAAAAACCCCUGCCCAGACUCUGCCCUCCACCACGGGGACUGUCCCCACCUCUCAGACUUCAGCACUGGCAGCCACAUCCAGCAGUGUCCCAGCGUCCCCUCCAGGAGUGACCCCAUCCCCUGGGCUCCCAUCAUCAGCUCUGCCCCCCAGCACCCCCCAGCCCUCCAACUGCAGCACAGAGAACGUGACAGCCUGUUUCCCCUGCCCCCCAGGGACAGCCCCCACACAAGCCUCCCAAGGAGCUCUGUGUGCCUUCCCUGCCCACCAGGACAUUUUGCUAAUGAGUCUGGGGCUGCAGCCUGCAGGGCCUGUGAGCGAGGCUAUUAUAGCUCCAAGCAAAAUGCAGCUUUUUGUCUGCCUUGCCAGCCAGGAUCCUUCUGCAAGUACAUUCAAAGGUGCCAAUGACAGCAGAUGCAAGGCCUGCAGGACAGGGGAGUACCAACUACAGCGGGGCAAGGAGAGCUGUGAGCAGUGCCCAGAAAACCACUACUGCCCUAGCCCGGAUGUGAAGCCAGUGAAGUGCCCCCCUGAUGCCUUCUGCCCGCGGGGCAGCGUGGAGCCCACCUACUGCAUGGAGCUGUUCCUGUACAAGGCAGGGGACUCCUGCCAGCUGACCCCUGCCACCGUCAUUGUCCUGGCCACCUUCUCAGCAGGUGGAAUCCUUGUUGUGUUUCUGAUCAUCCUGAGGAGCCGACAGGAGCACGGCAGGAGCUCCCUGAAGUCGCCGCUGCUGCCCCGGGGCUCAGGGCUGGGCUCCUACGGGGGCACGGAGCACACGGAGCCCGUCUAUGCGGGCUGGUAG
Molecule: long non-coding RNA, 1492 nt
Filed under: Zonotrichia albicollis (white-throated sparrow)
Lineage: Eukaryota; Metazoa; Chordata; Aves; Passeriformes; Passerellidae
Description: lncRNA (ENSZALG00000007531.1)
Source: RNAcentral